UACGUAGUCCCCGAGCGUUAUCCGGAAUUAUUGGGCGUAAAGGGAGCGCAGGCGGUUGGAUAAGUCUGACGUGAAAGUUUCACGCUUAACGUGAAAAGGUCGUUGGAAACUGUCUAACUUGAGAGCAGGAGAGGUAAGUGGAAUUCCUAGUGUAGCGGUGAAAUGCGUAGAGAUGAGGAGGAACACCAGUGGCGAAGGCGGCUUACUGGACUGCAUCUGACGCUGAGGCUCGAAAGCGUGGGGAGCAAACAGG
RNAcentral lists this ribosomal RNA (253 nucleotides) under uncultured bacterium. Its description in RNAcentral is "partial 16S ribosomal RNA". It matches the Rfam family "Bacterial small subunit ribosomal RNA", at positions 524 to 776 of the family's 1533-position model. The record is from RNAcentral.